CUCUCUUAGAAUGUUUGCAUGCAUACACUGAUGGUUUUUUUUUUACUUCCUCAUUCUGCAGUCAGUAGUUUGAGAAAGGUUGCAGGAGUUUAAGGAAAGGGAAAUAAGGUUAAAGAAGGAUACUGUGCCUUGUUCUAAGGUUCUAAAAUCCAGUUGUCUUGAAACAAAUACCGCUGCUGGGGCCAGCGAGCAAGAGUGCCAUCUGCUCCAUGCCCAGAUCUAUUUGCAAGACAAAUGGGCCCAUUGUUUCUGCAUGGGUAAACAGUACCCGUCCUGGGAGGUCGGGGCUACAUGAGGUAAGGAGAUUCUAGAUCAAAUGCAUGUAGGAGAUUUUGGAGAUAAGGACAGUAACGAUAAGUGUACUCUCUGACCGUGUUUCAGUGGUACAGUAAAACCACAAAGCACUGAGCUUGUGUGAGCUCUGGUUGUUCAAAAUAUAUAGAGGAGUUAACUUUCUACCAGCAGGCUUCAUGCCAGUCAGGGUAUCAUUUUUCCCUCUAUGGCCAACCUAAAAAUGUAAUGCUGCCUUAAGCUUUCUAUCGUUUCCUAUAGCAAAUUCUCCAAAGAGGUGGCUGUGUACCGAUGCCUGACACAAGGCCUGUGCGUUGCAGAUCAAGAGAGUUUGUGAGAUUCUGUACGCUUGGGACACCAUACAAAGUGGGUGUCAUCCCACUCCUUACUUUUGGCAAUAAAGGCUUACGUUUGAAAAUGCUCCUUACAAAAGAUCAACACGAAGGUAUUUUCUUUUUUUUCCAGCAGAAUAAAACUUCUUCCAUCCUAGCUGAAAACUGUGUUGCUUUUUUAAAAACUCUGCAUAGAUCUGAGUGAAAAGAUGAGAACCAUAUACAAGGUGUACCUUUCAGACUUCCAACAAAAUGAGGCCUUAAAG
Numida meleagris (helmeted guineafowl) is the source of this 889-nucleotide long non-coding RNA. RefSeq lists it as uncharacterized. Lineage: Eukaryota; Metazoa; Chordata; Aves; Galliformes; Numididae. The record is from RefSeq and is a predicted model, not a curated record. The transcript has 3 exons.